RNAcentral lists this transfer RNA (86 nucleotides) under Methanococcoides vulcani. RNAcentral describes it as "tRNA_Leu_CAA". It matches the Rfam family "tRNA". From Rfam's summary of the family: Transfer RNA (tRNA) molecules are approximately 80 nucleotides in length. Their secondary structure includes four short double-helical elements and three loops (D, anti-codon, and T loops). The record is from RNAcentral. Lineage: Archaea; Methanobacteriati; Methanobacteriota; Methanomicrobia; Methanosarcinales; Methanosarcinaceae.
GCGGGAGUAACCAAGUGGCCAACGGUGGUAGACUCAAGAUCUACUCGUGUAGACGUUCGGGGGUUCGAAUCCCUUCUCCCGCACCA